UGGGGAAUCUUCCGCAAUGGACGAAAGUCUGACGGAGCAACGCCGCGUGAGUGAAGAAGGUUUUCGGAUCGUAAAAACUCUGUCUUUUGGGGGCGAACGUGAGUAUGGUGAACAAUCAUAGUCAGUGACGGUACCAAAGGAGGAAGCCACGGCUAACUACGUGCCAGCAGCCGCGGUAAUACGUAGGUGGCAAGCGUUGUCCGGAAUUAUUGGGCGUAAAGAGCGCGUAGGCGGGAUAGUCAGUCUGUUGUAAAAGUGCGGGGCUCAACCCCGUGAUCGCAAUGGAAACAGCUAUUCUUGAGUGCAGGAGAGGAAAGUGGAAUUCCCAGUGUAGCGGUGAAAUGCGUAGAUAUUGGGAGGAACACCAGUGGCGAAGGCGACUUUCUGGACUGUGUCUGACGCUGAGGCGCGAAAGCCAGGGGAGCGAACGGGAUUAGAUACCCCGGUAGUCCUGGCCGUAAACGAUGGGUACUAGGUGUGGGAGGUAUCGACCCCUUCCGUGCCGGAGUUAANGCAAUAAGUACCCCCGCCUGGGGAGUACGGUCGCAAGACUGAAACUUAAAUGAAUUGACGGGGUCAUAGCUGUUUCCU
Molecule: ribosomal RNA, 591 nt
Filed under: uncultured bacterium
Lineage: Bacteria
Description: partial 16S ribosomal RNA
Rfam family: Bacterial small subunit ribosomal RNA
Source: RNAcentral